ACUGCUCAGUAACACGUGGAUAACCUGCCCUUGGGUCCGGCAUAACCCCGGGAAACUGGGGAUAAUUCCGGAUAACGCACAUAUGCUGGAAUGCUUUAUGCGUAAAAUGGAUUCGUCUGCCCAAGGAUGGGUCUGCGGCCUAUCAGGUAGUAGUGGGUGUAAUGUACCUACUAGCCAACAACGGGUACGGGUUGUGAGAGCAAGAGCCCGGAGAUGGAUUCUGAGACAUGAAUCCAGGCCCUACGGGGCGCAGCAGGCGCGAAAACUUUACAAUGCGGGAAACCGUGAUAAGGGGACACCGAGUGCCAGCAUCAUAUGCUGGCUGUCCAGGUGUGUAAAAUACACCUGUUAGCAAGGGCCGGGCAAGACCGGUGCCAGCCGCCGCGGUAACACCGGCGGCCCGAGUGGUGAUCGUGAUUAUUGGGUCUAAAGGGUCCGUAGCCGGUUUGGUCAGUCCUCCGGGAAAUCUGACGGCUUAACCGUUAGGCUUUCGGGGGAUACUGCCAGGCUUGGAACCGGGAGAGGUAAGAGGUACUACGGGGGUAGGAGUGAAAUCUUGUAAUCCCUGUGAGACCACCUGUGGCGAAGGCGUCUUACCAGAACGGGUUCGACGGUGAGGGACGAAAGCUGGGGGCACGAACCGGAUUAGAUACCCGGGUAGUCCCAGCCGUAAACGAUGCUCGCUAGGUGUCAGGCAUGGCGCGACCGUGUCUGGUGCCGCAGGGAAGCCGUGAAGCGAGCCACCUGGGAAGUACGGCCGCAAGGCUGAAACUUAAAGGAAUUGGCGGGGGAGCAC
RNAcentral lists this ribosomal RNA (796 nucleotides) under uncultured archaeon. RNAcentral describes it as "bacterial SSU rRNA". It matches the Rfam family "Archaeal small subunit ribosomal RNA", at positions 85 to 879 of the family's 1478-position model. The record is from RNAcentral.